GACAGAGGCCUCAAGCGUUUAGGCGGAAUCACUGGGCUUAAAGCGUGUGUAGGCGGAUCGUUAAGUGCCUUGUGAAAUCCCACGGCUCAACCGUGGAACUGCUGGGCAUACUGGCGUUCUUGAGCCAGCCAGGGGUCGUCGGAACAAACGGUGGAGCGGUGAAUGCGUAGAUAUCGUUUGGAACGCCAAAGGCGAAAGCAGACGACUGGGGCUGAGCUGACGCUGAGACAC
Molecule: ribosomal RNA, 231 nt
Filed under: uncultured bacterium
Lineage: Bacteria
Description: partial 16S ribosomal RNA
Rfam family: Bacterial small subunit ribosomal RNA
Source: RNAcentral